UCGUUAACGAACGAGACCUUAACCUGCUAAAUAGUCACGCAAACCUUGGUUUGUGGCCGACUUCUUAGAGGGACUAUUGACGUUUAGUCAAUGGAAGUUUGAGGCAAUAACAGGUCUGUGAUGCCCUUAGAUGUUCUGGGCUGCACGCGCGCUACACUGAUGAAGCCAGCGAGUUUACAACCUUGGCCGGAAGGUCUGGGUAAUCUUGUGAAACUUCAUCGUGCUGGGGAUAGACCAUUGCAAUUAUUGGUCUUCAACGAGGAAUUCCUAGUAAGCGUGAGUCAUCAGCUCGCGUUGAUUACGUCCCUGCCCUUUGUACACACCGCCCGUCGCUAAUACCGAUUGAAUGGGUA
Molecule: ribosomal RNA, 353 nt
Filed under: Eukaryota sp.
Lineage: Eukaryota
Description: SSU rRNA
Rfam family: Eukaryotic small subunit ribosomal RNA
Source: RNAcentral